Molecule: long non-coding RNA, 1702 nt
Filed under: Eucalyptus grandis
Lineage: Eukaryota; Viridiplantae; Streptophyta; Magnoliopsida; Myrtales; Myrtaceae
Description: long non-coding RNA (EGRA_LNC002920)
Source: RNAcentral
CCUAUAAACUUAUUGAACCAAAAGCAAGUUGAAAACAAUGAAGAGUUGAAGACUAAAGUUCUUGUGCUCCCAAUGUAACUAAGAUCCAAUGUUCUCUGUGCUAAGGCAAUUCCUCCCGGUGCUUCAAGCAACUACUGAAGGGUGACUACUGGAUCCUCUCACGCCAAUUGUAAGUCAUCCCUUUACCUGCAGCUUUCCCAAACGGAAGGGGUUGUUUGCAUCCGGUGAGAGAACUCUCAUGGGUAAUAUUCAGCAAAACUAACAAGCACAGUAAUGUCAAUAGAGAUAUACCUUCAUAAAUUGGUUGUUCUCUGUGCUAAGGCAAUUCCUCCCGGUGCUUCAAGCAACUAGUGAAGGGUGACUACCAGAUCCUCUCACGCCAAUUGUAAGUCAUCCUUUCACCUGCAGCUUUCCCAAACAGAAGUGGUUGUUUGCAUCCGGUGAGAAAACUCUCAUGGGAGAUAUUCAGCGAAACUAUCAAGCAUAGUAAUGUCAAUAGAGAUAUUCCUUCAUAAAUUGGUAGACCAAGAAAGAAAAUUAACAGUAAAAACAUAUAGGGGAGAACAACAACCACCAAUAUAGCCAAGGUUGUUGCAUCUCCUAAUGAAAAUCUUCUACAUGUACUUCGAAAAGCUGCCAACUAACAUGCUUCUCUUCCAAUUUCUCGCAGAGGGAAGGCCCCAAGUUAAAAUAGCCAAAUCGCUCUGUAGUGAAACCUCUUUUAUCAUCUCCAAACUGUAAAUGACAGGAGACAAAUCCAUAUGACUAUUCUAUGAAGACUAAAUUGAAGGAGUAACCAUUGUAUUUUAAGGGUCAUGUGGGGCAAAGAAAGAUACUACAAAGCCAUACCUGCAUGCUAACUUGUAAAGAUCUAAUACAAGCUCGGAAGUCUUUAUUGUGAACCAGACCAGAAUGAAGUAAUAGCCAAGGAAUCAAAGAUGAGAGAAACUCCGUUUUACCCUACAUAUGAAAAGUCUACUUUCUAUUAGUCAAAGAAUCGCAACCUUCUUGACCAGGUGUCGAAACAGAGUUCUUCAAAGCUUAUGCCUCUAACCUUGAAACAAACUAGUUCUUCAAAAAGACCAGAAUGAAGUAACGCUUUGUACUCCUAAUAGCAAGCGGAAAAGUAAAUCAAGGGCAAGAAGUGUUUUGAGUAGCAUUUCAGGUACCUAAUAAAACAGAAGAAGAAAAGUUCUAACCAGUUCAUGCAGACAUUUUGGGAGACAAGUAUCCAGUCUUUUGACAUAAUGUAUAAGUUGGUGGCAAAAGAACAUGAACAGUUUGACAAAAAACCAUAACCUUUUUCUCUUAAUGCACCACGGCUUUAAAUGUAAUGCAAAGUGCGACUUCCAAUUAGGGAAAGCGUUAAACUUGGUGAGCACAACCCAAAACCUCCAACAGGCAAACUAAGUUCCAGUAUGUGUUCCCAUGACCAUGAAUUAAAUGCACUCUUAGAUCCAACUUUUAUCCAUAGAGAAAAGAAGUCCCACAAGGUAGUGAUGGUAUAUAACUGGUAGAGCUAUUGCAAAAUUCAUUUCAAUAAGAACAAAACUGGUUUUUCAUUGUGGUCAGGAAGACAAAGGCAAUUGAAAGCCUGAGCCACAUAUUAGCGAGACGCAAGAAAACAGAUAGCAGAAAAAUGAUGAACUUCAACCCCACACAACACAAAUUCAUCCGCAGGAGAAAAACAAAGAAUUCUUAG